AGUGAACGCUGGCGGUAGGCCUAACACAUGCAAGUCGAACGGCAGCACAGUAAGAGCUUGCUCUUACGGGUGGCGAGUGGUGGACGGGUGAGGAAUACAUCGGAAUCUACUUUUUCGUGGGGGAUAACGUAGGGAAACUUACGCUAAUACCGCAUACGACCUACGGGUGAAAGCAGGGGAUCUUCGGACCUUGCGCGAUUGAAUGAGCCGAUGUCGGAUUAGCUAGUUGGCGGGGUAAAGGCCCACCAAGGCGACGAUCCGUAGCUGGUCUGAGAGGAUGAUCAGCCACACUGGAACUGAGACACGGUCCAGACUCCUACGGGAGGCAGCAGUGGGGAAUAUUGGACAAUGGGCGCAAGCCUGAUCCAGCCAUACCGCGUGGGUGAAGUAGGCCUUCGGGUUGUAAAGCCCUUUUGUUGGGAAAGAAAAGCAGCAGGUUAAUACCCCGCUGUUCUGACGGUACCCAAAGAAUAAGCACCGGCUAACUUCGUG
Molecule: ribosomal RNA, 492 nt
Filed under: uncultured bacterium
Lineage: Bacteria
Description: partial 16S ribosomal RNA
Rfam family: Bacterial small subunit ribosomal RNA
Source: RNAcentral